UGGGGAAUAUUGGACAAUGGGGGCAACCCUGAUCCAGCCAUGCCGCGUGAGUGAAGAAGGCCUUCGGGUUGUAAAGCUCUUUCAGAUGCGAAGAUGAUGACGGUAACAUCAGAAGAAGCCCCGGCUAAUUUCGUGCCAGCAGCCGCGGUAAUACGAAAGGGGCUAGCGUUGUUCGGAUUUACUGGGCGUAAAGGGCACGCAGGCGGUCUUGCCAGUCAGGGGUGAAAGCCCGGGGCUCAACCCCGGAACUGCCUCUGAUACUGCAGGACUAGAGACUAGGAGAGGGUGGUGGAAUUCCCAGUGUAGAGGUGAAAUUCGUAGAUAUUGGGAGGAACACCAGAGGCGAAGGCGGCCACCUGGACUAGAUCUGACGCUCAGGUGCGAAAGCGUGGGGAGCAAACAGGAUUAGAUACCCUGGUAGUCCACGCCGUAAACGAUGAGUGCUAGUUGUCGGGAUUUCGAUUUCGGUGGCGCAGCUAACGCAUUAAGCACUCCGCCUGGGGAGUACGGUCGCAAGAUUA
This 521-nucleotide ribosomal RNA is filed under the name uncultured Alphaproteobacteria bacterium. Its description in RNAcentral is "bacterial SSU rRNA". It matches the Rfam family "Bacterial small subunit ribosomal RNA", at positions 355 to 896 of the family's 1533-position model. Lineage: Bacteria; Pseudomonadati; Pseudomonadota; Alphaproteobacteria. The record is from RNAcentral.